GAUGAACGCUGGCGGCGUGCCUAAUACAUGCAAGUCGAGCGAACAGACGAGGAGCUUGCUCCUCUGACGUUAGCGGCGGACGGGUGAGUAACACGUGGAUAACCUACCUAUAAGACUGGGAUAACUUCGGGAAACCGGAGCUAAUACCGGAUAAUAUAUUGAACCGCAUGGUUCAAUAGUGAAAGACGGUUUUGCUGUCACUUAUAGAUGGAUCCGCGCCGCAUUAGCUAGUUGGUAAGGUAACGGCUUACCAAGGCAACGCUGCGUAGCCGACCUGGGAGGGUGAUCGGCCACACUGGAACUGAGACACGGUCCAGACUCCUACGGGAGGCAGCAGUAGGGAAUCUUCCGCAAUGGGCGAAAGCUUGACGGAGCAACGCCGCGUGAGUGAUGAAGGUCUUCGGAUCGUAAAACUCUGUUAUUAGGGAAGAACAAAUGUGUAAGUAACUAUGCACGUCUUGACGGUACCUAAUCAGAAAGCCACGGCUAACUACGUG
RNAcentral lists this ribosomal RNA (497 nucleotides) under uncultured bacterium. RNAcentral describes it as "partial 16S ribosomal RNA". It matches the Rfam family "Bacterial small subunit ribosomal RNA", at positions 28 to 507 of the family's 1533-position model. The record is from RNAcentral.